This 520-nucleotide ribosomal RNA is filed under the name uncultured bacterium. RNAcentral's name for it is "bacterial SSU rRNA". It matches the Rfam family "Bacterial small subunit ribosomal RNA", at positions 28 to 516 of the family's 1533-position model. The record is from RNAcentral.
GACGAACGCUGGCGGCGUGCUUAACACAUGCAAGUCGAACGGAGCUUAAUGAUGAAGCUUGCGAUUUCAUUAAGUUUAGUGGCGGACGGGUGAGUAACGCGUGGGCAACCUACCCAUAAGCGGGGGACAACAGUUGGAAACGGCUGCUAAUACCGCAUACGCUCCUUAAAACACAUGUUUAAAGGAGGAAAGAUGGCCUCUGAAAAUGCUAUCACUUAUGGAUGGGCCCGCGUCUGAUUAGCUAGUUGGUGGGGUAGAGGCCUACCAAGGCGACGAUCAGUAGCCGGCCUGAGAGGGUGAACGGCCACACUGGGACUGAGACACGGCCCAGACUCCUACGGGAGGCAGCAGUGGGGAAUAGUUGCGCAAUGGGGGAAACCCUGACGCAGCGACGCCGCGUGAGCGAAGAAGGCCUUAGGGUCGUAAACUGCUUUUGUACGGAACGAAACGGUCUGCCCUAAUACGGCGGCUAAUGACGGUACCGUAAGAAUAAGCACCGGCUAACUACGUGCCAGCAGCC